UUUUUUCUUUUUUUUUUUUUUUUUUUUUAAUAGAAACUCAUUUUUAUUUAUGAUUCAACCUCAGAAAUAGAGGUGAAAUUUGAAGGGAUUAAAAAAAAAAUAAUAAUAAAACCAAAACCACCUCUCUGGCUCCCACAAAUCCUUCUUACAGGUCCCUCAGGCUUUGCUAGGACGUAGUUAUAAGCAAAAAAUGACUCUGCAAAAAACAGCCCUUUGGUAAAAACCAGCUCUUGCACAAUUUGUAUAUUUUGGAAGCCAUAUUUGACCAUUUUACUGGCUAAGGAUACCCAAAACCAGACUCUGAGAUCCAAAUCCUCUGUGCAUGGGGAGGAGGGGGAAGAGGGCAAGCUGAAUGUUUAAAAUCAAACCAGUGAAGGCGAAAUGUCUUCUUCUAGAAAUAGAGUCCUGAAAUAACUGCCACCCUUUUCACUGUCAAACUAAUAGAGAAUAAUUGAAUACAAUUAGUAAAUCAUGGGUAAAAAUGUAAAUGAGGCAGCAAACCAGCUAAUGAAUGACCACCCUGGACCAUAGCACCAGGGACUGAGUUGGCAAAUAACAGCAGAGAGGAAGCUUAGACCGGGGUCAGCUCCCACUAAUACUGAGCCUAGAAAAUCAAGGAUGUGGUUGGUGAUCCUCCUUGGCCCCUGCAGCCAGUACAGAUUCCUGUGGGGUGCAAAGAGACAAGGAAAUGUUUAAUUUCCUCCAUUUAUAGCCCACUGUGGCACCUUUGUUACAUAAGGCACUUGCAGCCUUCUCACAGGAGAGCUUUGUUUGUUGUUUUACAGUCUCUGUGUGACUGCAGAGAGGACUCAGAGUCUGGGCUAGGACAGGAAAAGUGCUGCCACUCUAAUACAUCUGCCUGCAUUAAAGUCUUUCAAUUCCAGCUCUUUUUUAGCACCUCAAAAGUGUAAGUGAUAAAUAUCAGAGGAACUGCCCGUAUUUCUGUAUUGAUAAAAGAGGGGGAAAAGGAGAAAUGUCACAAGAGACAAGCAUGACAUGACCCACUCUGGAGCCUUAUGGCAUCAGCAUUUGGGGAUGUCCCCUCUGGUCUGUAUCUCACCCCAAAAGGUUUCUCUGGGCUUCUGGCUGAUGAGUUUGACCCAGCAGAGCACUGUUUUUCUCCUUUUAUCCACUUUGUCUCAGGAAGCAUGGAAAUCACCCUUGCUUUAUGGUGUAACAUUGGAAGUGUUCUGCUCAUACCUAACCACGGUCAUAAUUCCAUCUUGAUCCUGUCUCUGGCACUUAUCCAGAGCAUUUCUAACUGAACCCUACCAGUAAAAGCCAAUCCUGAUCAAGACAUGGCAAACCAGAUCCUCGAACAGCUUGGAAAGUCCUCUGGUUACAUUGGUGGGUAUUUUUCAAUGUCAGAACACCCACGAGUAUUGCAAGGCCCAAAAAAACCACAGGAUAAACCAGAGCCUGGAGAUGGGAGGCAUCUCCCUCCCGGUGGCUCAGCACACUCGAGGACACAGCUUAGGGCGUGAGGAGCUGCUGUGGUUUCUCGCCAGGCUCAAACCCUCACACGGUUUUUCUGCAAACACACCUUGAGGUUCCCCUGUGACCAACUGGAAGUUGAUAAAACAACCGUGGAUUAACAAGGGAAAGGGUCAACUCCCAGGCACCCCAGCCCCUGUCACAGCUCACUGGUGCAAAUCCCAGUUAAGCUAAAGAAAACUAAAACCUGCGUUCACACAAGUCCACUCUGAUUUCUGUGUACACUUCAGGGCCCUGCCAUUUCUGCUCCCAAGUUCACACCCAAACAGGAAAGGGACAAUCUUGUGCUUCAGGUGUGACUGAAAUCUCACUCAACUCCCCAUGCUCAUGAGAAUUCAAGGCUGGAUCUCGCUGAACAGCUGACCUGACUUCAGUCCUGCCACAUGAGGCCAAACCCUAACAGAAACCACCUGUGGUAUUUCAAUAACAUUAAAUCCAAGCUGAAUUCAGCCUUGUACCUGACUCGCAUCCAGCAUCGAUUUCUUUGGCCCACUUCAAGUCUCUUGCUGUCAACACUCCAGGGCUGAGAGUCAUGGAAGAAUGAGCUGCAUUCUGUUAAACCUCAUGGCCAGUGCUGCCAGCUGAAGCGUUCUCCCUGCUCCCCAUGCUGAGGAUGGGGUAUGAAACAGAACAGUUUGUUUUCCAAAUCUGAUGCAAGGCUCCAGUUAUUCAGCUUGCAGCUCUGACUGCGAGAGGGUUUAGCCAGCUCUGACAACAUAUGGAUGUGGUCCACGGUGCUGGCUGUUUCCUAUAGGAUCUGGAAAGCUCUAAGGCAUGACUCUGUCUUUCUGCUGCACUUGGAAUUUGCUGUGAUGAGCAGGAGGAGGAAUUCCUGGGAAAGGCCAGGACCUAUCCAAGGAUGGUCCCAGAUGCUGCCUCUGCACACACCAGCUCGUGAGUGCAAUAUUCUGAGGUUUGUGUGUUCAGCCAGCACCUGGCUGGCUGCAAACUGACCUCUGCUAGUGACAGAGCAGGAAAUCUCUUAUAUUGUUAUCUCUUUUGGCCUUAUUUAUAGAAUUCUUGUUGAUGCCUCAGCUGCAGACCUUGUGCCACCACAGACCUGCCCAAGGGGAAGAUGUGUGGGGAUGUUUUAACCACAUCAGCAUCGAGCUGCAGCCCCACCAGGCCUUACUGAUCAUGGAAUUCCAGCAGCAAACAUUUUAACAGCCCACUGAUUCCCUGUUUAAAUACAUCCUCUUUACAGCCCAGUCUUCCCCCAAGUCCUGCAAAGCUGGCAGAUUUCUUGAGGCAAAGUGACAUCUAAGAUCAUCUAAGACAUCAAAGAUGUCUUGGCAUCUCCAGACUUUGGUUCUCCAGCAGCACCAGGUCCUGCCAACAUCAUGAGGUGACCAAAAAAUGAGGAUUUGACUGUAUGGCUUUCACCUCAUCCAUUUAAGUUUACAAACAAGCAGAAAUGCAAACAUUAGCCAGAAUUCUUUAUGAUACGAACAGGGAUCUGGCAUCUGCCACUCCAUCACCUAUUUCUGUCACAGGAGGUUUCCUUGUCUCUAUUUGCCAUCAGCACAGAGGAAUUUGCUUCACUUAUUUGUAUGAAUGUGCCAAAUAAAGUAAAUGUAGUUAUCCUCACAUGUCAAAAUGAGGGAGGGCCACCAGAGAUUCUGAGGACAGGGCAGCAACUCCAUCCUUGCACAGGAAAUAUCCACUGAAAUUAAGAUAAUAAGAGCAAGAACAUUAAUAGAAAAUCAAAGGAGAACAUACUGCAUUUUCCCCUCAAAGGCCUAAUACCACAACCAUUAAAUCAGUAUCAAAAUUUCCACUGUAUUUAGAAAACAAUUUAAAUAUCUCUGGACAAAAUACAUUCUGUACAAAAUGUCAUUUGUGUCGAAAGAAUGUUUGGACAAGGAACCAGUGACUGUUAUUAUUGGCAAUAUCAGAGAAACAAGGCCCCAGCUGUCCUUUCCUAGAAGGGUUAAACUUCUAUUAUGAAACAAGAAAACAAUCUCUGUAAGGAAAAAUUUUCCAGCCAAUGCCCAUCCAAAACUCCAGGUCAGCAGCAAAUACAUCCAAAUACACAAUAAGGUCAUACGAAGAAAUUCAGAGAACAGCCCUCUUUGUCUAGAAUAUUAAGUACUGGAACAAAUAACAGCAACAUCCUCAUGAGUUGUUCACAUUUUUCCCAGCACAGCUCUUCCAUGCUGAGGGCUGCUUUCUUUUUCCUAUCACUCUGUGUGGAUUUUUCUCUCUCGUCAUUUGUCUCCCCUGGAUUCCAAGUAAAGCAAGGAGCGUGUCUUCUCCUGGAGUCACCUAUGAGACUGCAGAUCCCUGGAGCUGGCCCAACCAGAACCCUUUUUUGUGUAUUUGUUCAUUUGUGGUCUCUUUUAAAUGAAUAAAACACUCCAAUAACCCUCAUUCCUCUUCUUGCUAUCCUACCUUUUCCCACCAGGUCCCUUCUUCUCUGCUGUUCCUCAGUCCUUUCCUUCUCAGAACAUUUCUCACCCCAAGAUUUUCAGCAGUGAUUGCUACAAUUUCUUACCCAACCCCAAUCCAAACACUUCUCUUUAUGCUGCAUAAUUAUUUCUCACAAAUAGUGUCUCCAGGUUGGGACCUUGCAGAUGGGGAAAAUCAUGCAAACAAUUACUAUUGUUUUUGCAAUAGUAAUUUUAGGUGGAGGGGUCCCCAGAGCUCCUCAGGUUUUUAACAAAUGAUUUAUAUAUUGCAUAGCAAGAUAAAGGGGGGAAAUGGAACUCCAAAAGACUGUAUGCACAGAAUUUCUUAACUGAUCUUCUCUGAUCCUGCUUGAAGUGGCAUAAAUAUAAAGGAGAGUCAGAACCUAUUGAGCCACGGUCUGUUUACCCAAUCCCCACAUUAUACAAGAUGUGAGCUCUAAAGAAUUCCUUCUGUUCUCUGUCCUCUUAAUUUCCACUUUUUGGGCAACUUUUCAACCAAAAGAUCAAGCACUAUCUGCUUUCAAAGUGCCCCUAAUGAGGUAAUUACUGGGAGCAUAAAAUACACCCAUUUAUUGUAACUGAAGCCACCGCAGGCUGGGGCCAGGCAGUGCUCAGAGUUCGCUCCCCUGGCAGCUCAGAGAUGUCCUGCCCCGUUCAAAUCUUUUUUUCUGUAAAGGAGUAAGACAUCUCCAGUGCCCAUCGUGAUGGAAUUACCCUGCUGACCCCUUCUUGAACAAACUUUGCAAACCACGAGCACCCACAUCUGAGCAGAGACCGAGAUUAAACACGGUUGUUUGCAGAACUUUUUCCUGCAGAAGUGCUCGAAGUUCUUUUCCAAAAAGCCUCCCUCCCAUCCCACAGACAUCCUGUGCUGGGUCAGGAGCUCACCACCGGCCAUGGCUCAAGCCAUGCCAGGGACAGGAGGAACUUUUUGUUCCUCCAGCAGCUCCUGGGAGCCAGACCUCCCAUUGCUCCCCACGGCCACGGCUCCAACCUGCCAUUCCUGGGGUCAAUCCUCUAAAUCUCCUCACACCCUUCAUUUUGGGUCUUGGCCGAGGGAGAUUAUCCAGAAAAGUGCUUUCCUAAGAACUGCCCAGCUCCUGUGCAUGAGGGUGGGGGUCUCUGCCACUGACUGGGAGUAGAACUGGGCAAAAUCCUUCAGGGGAAGGAAAAGAAAACCAGCAACAGCAGGUUGGCUGGAUGUAAAUUCCCUCCAGCGCCUGAAGGAACUGCAGGAAAGAUGGAGAGAGACAAUUUAUAAGAGCCUAGAGUGAGAGGACAAGGCUCCAAAGUGAAAAUAAAUAGGUUUAGAUUGGAUAUUGGGAAGAAAUUCUUUCUUGGGAGGGUGGGCAGGCCCUGGCACAGGAUGCCCAGAGAAGCUGUGGCUGCCCCUGGAUCCAUGGAAGUGCCCAAGGCCAGGCUGGACAGAAGCCUGGGAUAGUGGAAGGUGUCCCUGCUCAUGGAGUAGAACAAGAUGAUCUUUAAGGUCACUUCCCACCAGGCCGUUCCAUGGUUCUACAUUAAUUCUAGCAAAUUGUCUCAAUUGAAAAAGACACAUCCCAAAGUGGGGAAAAAAAAAAAAAAAAAAAAAAAAAAAAAAAGGAAAAAAAAAACCAACCAAGAAAAAAAUCAAACCAAGCCAAACUAAAAACCCCCACAACCAAACCUGUGAGUUAAAUAUCUUUUUUUUAAACUUGAUUUCAGUCCCAAGUUAGUUCAGAUUUUUUUAUCCUGCCUGCUUAAUUUAAAAUCAAGGCCUUUCUUCUGAAUUUUCAGAUCAGCUAAGCAAAGUUGAAAAAUUUAUCAGAAGUACAAGUCUGGUUGUGAAUUAUCAGAUAUUCUUGUUUGAAAGACUUGUGCAAUUAUUUCGACAUUUUAUUUUCACCUAGAAUUUCAGUUCCCAGAGGAAGGGAAAGUUGAGAUUUCAGUUCAUUCACAUCCCCAGGAGCCAACCUAAAGCUGUGGAAGCGAGUGUCCUUAAAUGAUUUCUUGCUAUUCUACAGUCACAAUUAGCUCAGAUCGCAAUGUCGACUUUGCUUGGGCUCAGCUUCAAGACUAACAUUAAACUCUACUGCUGCAUAAUCCUGUGGCUGAUACCUUAGUCAUAAUGUGAGCUAAUAGGUCAACCUUGGCUUUUGGUAAGUCAUAAAAUGGAAAAAAAAAAAAACAGUUAUGAGAGCUUUAGAAUUCUUACUAGACAGCACACAGUAACUCUUGUUCCUGAGUCAUCCUGCAAAAGCUUUUUAUAAUAUCUUGCAUUUGCUCUCCCAGCAAGCGAUUACACUUCUGUGCUCUUCCCCAGCCGUGCAAAGCAGCUCUUUGAGGCUCGGAGUGCCAGGAGGGAUGGAUGUGCUGCAGGGAGCACUCCCACGGGCAGCACGUGCCAGGACUGCAAAUCCUGCAGGAGAAUCUGCAGCGAGCCCAGCGCAGGGAAUGCCACCACGUGCUGCAUUCUGCGCUGGGCUGCAGGCAGGGAUGCUGCUGACCUUGGAGGGGAAAUGCACCGCUGCCAUCAGGGAUGGGGCUCAAAGAGCACUCCCAAAGCUCUGUGCUCGCAGCCCAGGGGCAAACAGAACCAGCUCCUGCCCAAAGGACAGGACCCUUCAGAGCCACCUCACUCACAGGAACACCCAGGCUGUGCCAGGCUGGUCUCUUCAAGCUCCUCUUGGAAAUGGGACUCAAUCCCUAAGAGGAGUACUUCCCUUCCCAGGGUGCCUGGCUGCUACCAAAAGAAACAACUGGGUGUAGAUCUUUAGUAUUAGGAGCAGAAGGCUGACCUUUUCUUGAGUCAUUUUUUAUCCCUUUUCUGUAUGGAUUGAAAAGAUUAAGUAUUUUUAAAGAUAAUAUAAAAUGACCCAGCAGAAAGCCAGGCACUCACGUGGCAGCAAGAUUGGUGGAAGACAUCCUGUGCUUUUGGACUGCAUCAGCUCAACGCUGCUCCUUCAGCUUUUCCCUGGUGGUCACUCUGGAAAAAAAAAGGUUGGGAGAUUCCCUGCUCCACCUGGGGCACAUCCCACAACAAAUCUGGCAAACACCUGCCCCAGGAAGGAGGAAUCAAUCAGUGUCUUGCAGAGAAGGAACCUUGGAAGAUCCAGUAUUGCACAUUUUGAGUGCUGUCCAAAUUCCAGACGUGUCCUUGCUCCCUGUUAUGCUGCUGGUCCUGAGCAUUCCUGCAGUGGGGGUUCACAGGGUAAUUGCCAUCCUCCUUACCAGUAACUCAGUCUGUGGGGCACAGAGGGAGCUGCUAACUGAACCAGAGUCACCAUUAUUCAGUAUUUCCUGUUCUCUCACUAAAAAAAAAAA
This 7205-nucleotide long non-coding RNA is filed under the name Taeniopygia guttata (zebra finch). Its description in RNAcentral is "lncRNA (ENSTGUG00000027487.1)". Lineage: Eukaryota; Metazoa; Chordata; Aves; Passeriformes; Estrildidae. The record is from RNAcentral.